AGUCUGAUUCUGGGAGAUUAAAAUGCAACGGAUGAUACACAGCGAAUGAUGCAGAUGAGUGGGUUUGGCUUUGAUCCAUCAAAGAGCUUGAGUGCCGAGAAAGAUGGUCUUGACAUAGUCCAACAUGAAUGGGCACUCCCUAAAUUCGAGCACCGAGCUGAAGCAGUGUUGAAAAAACUUGUCAGCUGAACAUUAGGAGCGUGAUAAACAACUGUCCGGAGGGGGUAGUUCGAUUGAAGUUUUCAUCUUACGAGCUCACUGAACUGUAAAAGAUGAAACACCUUUAGAAACAAGGGUGGGCUUUGGUAUAUAUUCCAGUUCAAU
Hibiscus syriacus is the source of this 324-nucleotide long non-coding RNA. RefSeq lists it as uncharacterized. The transcript has 3 exons. The record is from RefSeq and is a predicted model, not a curated record. NCBI's taxonomy places the organism in Eukaryota, Viridiplantae, Streptophyta, Magnoliopsida, Malvales, Malvaceae.